This 425-nucleotide ribosomal RNA is filed under the name uncultured bacterium. RNAcentral's name for it is "bacterial SSU rRNA". It matches the Rfam family "Bacterial small subunit ribosomal RNA", at positions 28 to 438 of the family's 1533-position model. The record is from RNAcentral.
GACGAACGCUGGCGGCGUGCUUAACACAUGCAAGUCGAACGAGACGAUUUAGAAGCUUGCUUUUAUUGAGUCGAGUGGCAAACGGGUGAGUAACGCGUAGACAACCUGCCGCAAAGAUGGGGACAACAGUCCGAAAGGACUGCUAAUACCGAAUGUUGUAUCUCCUCCGCAUGGAAGAGAUAUUAAAGAUGGCCUCUACUUGUAAGCUAUCGCUUUGCGAUGGUCUGCGUCUGAUUAGCUAGUUGGUGGGCAACGGCCUACCAAGGCAACGAUCAGUAGCCGGUCUGAGAGGAUGAACGGCCACAUUGGAACUGAGACACGGUCCAGACUCCUACGGGAGCAGCAGUGGGAAUCUUCCGGCAAUGGGCGAAAGCCUGACGGAGCAACGCCGCGUGAGUGAGAAGGCCUGGUCGUAAGCUCUGUUG